UACGGGGGGGGCAAGCGUUGUUCGGAAUUACUGGGCGUAAAGGGCUCGUAGGCGGCCAACUAAGUCAUACGUGAAAUCCCUCGGCUUAACCGGGGAACUGCGUCUGAUACUGGAUGGCUUGAGAUUGGGAGAGGGAUGCGGAAUUCCAGGUGUAGCGGUGAAAUGCGUAGAUAUCAGGAAGAACACCGAUGGCGAGAGCAGCUCUCUGGGACGGUACUGACGCUGAGGCGCGAAAGCGUGGGGAGCGAACAGG
RNAcentral lists this ribosomal RNA (253 nucleotides) under uncultured bacterium. RNAcentral's name for it is "partial 16S ribosomal RNA". It matches the Rfam family "Bacterial small subunit ribosomal RNA", at positions 524 to 776 of the family's 1533-position model. The record is from RNAcentral.